CACCACAAUAGGCAGGCAGAUGGUUCUGUCACACCUUGCUUCAAGUAACGGGAAAUCAGUGAAGGGACAUUAUGGACAAUGUUAUGCUUUCAACUUUGUGGGAACAGUUUGGGGAGGGUCCUUUUCUAUUCCAACAUGACUGUGCCCCCGUGCAUAAAGCAAGGUCCAUAAAGACAUGGUUGGAUGAGUUUGGUGUGGAAGAACUCGACUGGCCCACACAGAGUCCUGACCUCAAC
Pelobates cultripes (western spadefoot toad) is the source of this 236-nucleotide non-coding RNA. The record is from the annotation of a GenBank genome assembly. NCBI's taxonomy places the organism in Eukaryota, Metazoa, Chordata, Amphibia, Anura, Pelobatidae.